This 74-nucleotide transfer RNA is filed under the name Faecalibacterium sp. CAG:74_58_120. Its description in RNAcentral is "tRNA-Arg". It matches the Rfam family "tRNA". Rfam says of the family: Transfer RNA (tRNA) molecules are approximately 80 nucleotides in length. Their secondary structure includes four short double-helical elements and three loops (D, anti-codon, and T loops). Lineage: Bacteria; Bacillati; Bacillota; Clostridia; Eubacteriales; Oscillospiraceae. The record is from RNAcentral.
GAGCCCAUAGCUCAGUAGGAUAGAGCGACUGCCUCCUAAGCAGUAGGUCGUGGGUUCGACUCCCACUGGACUCA